Drosophila virilis is the source of this 1010-nucleotide long non-coding RNA. RefSeq lists it as uncharacterized. The record is from RefSeq and is a predicted model, not a curated record. Lineage: Eukaryota; Metazoa; Arthropoda; Insecta; Diptera; Drosophilidae.
AUUUACAUAUUCUGGACUUUUGUGCUGUGCAAAUAAACAAAAUAAUAUUUAAUUUGCCUGACGACCUUUUUGUCAUCGUUUUAAUUAAUAAAUGCCAGCAACAGCAGCAACAACAAUUAUAAUACAAAAAUAACUUUUCAAAGAGUUUUGAUAGCGACAACUGCCUGAAAACACAAAUAGCAAAAACAAAGUAUUGCAACAAAUUAAUCAACUUUUGUUGUUCCCAGCACCGGAAAAGACAGAACAGAACGGGACAGGAAAGGAUACUAUCGGACAGGACACACGCAUUGGAUACGCUGGCCGGAAUUCAUAAUUUGCAUAAAGUCAAAUGCAGCGACAACGUUGAAGCCAACGCACGUCUUUUUGCUUUUCACUUCAAUAUAAAUUGUGGCUUAAAUCAACAAUAAGCGCGCGUGUGUGUGCUGUGAAUGAAAAUCCAAAGAGAUUUUAUUCCAAUAAUUAAAAUCAAAUGCUAAUUCAUUUUGGCUCAAGGGUGUUGAGCUGUGAGUCGCCAUUCUAUGCGAUAUUCAUGAUCUAAUGUAUGCAGCAAUUUGAUGGUUAUUCUUUUUUCUUUUUCUACCUGACACUCGCGUUUCAAAUUCUUUCUUUCUGUCACUCUCAUUCUUUGGCUGAGCUCUUAAUAUCACUAAGCUGCCUCUUUCUUACACUCUCUCCCUCUCUCACUCUACUUUACUGUCAGUCUGUCUUUCUUUCACCACAUGUUUUUGCCUUUUUCUCAGUUCUCUAUACCUCUUUUCUAUUUCAUAUCAUUUUCUUUUUCUCUCUUUCUAUAUCAUUUCUAUAUCAUUGAAUCUCAUCCCAUUUUUGCCCUCUUCCGCUUUUGUUCAUCUCUUUUCUGUCACUAAUGUUUCAUUGAUUUAUAAUCGUUUGUUAUCGCCUUUCUUUACGAUUCUCAUAAAUUAGUUUUUUCUGCGUGUAAAAUGUAAAACUAGUAACCUAAAAAUUGACUCUUACUAAUAAUAUGUUUAUACUUGAGCCCGACCCACCAA